This 713-nucleotide ribosomal RNA is filed under the name uncultured bacterium. Its description in RNAcentral is "bacterial SSU rRNA". It matches the Rfam family "Bacterial small subunit ribosomal RNA", at positions 60 to 734 of the family's 1533-position model. The record is from RNAcentral.
AGUCGAGCGAGCUUGCCUAGAUGAAUUUGGUGCUUGCACCAGAUGAAACUAGAUACAAGCGAGCGGCGGACGGGUGAGUAACACGUGGGUAACCUGCCCAAGAGACUGGGAUAACACCUGGAAACAGAUGCUAAUACCGGAUAACAACACUAGACGCAUGUCUAGAGUUUAAAAGAUGGUUCUGCUAUCACUCUGGAUGGACCUGCGGUGCAUUAGCUAGUUGGUAAGGUAACGGCUUACCAAGGCAAUGAUGCAUAGCCGAGUUGAGAGACUGAUCGGCCACAUUGGGACUGAGACACGGCCCAAACUCCUACGGGAGGCAGCAGUAGGGAAUCUUCCACAAUGGACGCAAGUCUGAUGGAGCAACGCCGCGUGAGUGAAGAAGGGUUUCGGCUCGUAAAGCUCUGUUGGUAGUGAAGAAAGAUAGAGGUAGUAACUGGCCUUUAUUUGACGGUAAUUACUUAGAAAGUCACGGCUAACUACGUGCCAGCAGCCGCGGUAAUACGUAGGUGGCAAGCGUUGUCCGGAUUUAUUGGGCGUAAAGCGAGUGCAGGCGGUUCAAUAAGUCUGAUGUGAAAGCCUUCGGCUCAACCGGAGAAUUGCAUCAGAAACUGUUGAACUUGAGUGCAGAAGAGGAGAGUGGAACUCCAUGUGUAGCGGUGGAAUGCGUAGAUAUAUGGAAGAACACCAGUGGCGAAGGCGGCUCUCUGGUC